Arabidopsis thaliana (thale cress) is the source of this 313-nucleotide long non-coding RNA. RefSeq annotates it as other RNA. The record is from RefSeq. NCBI's taxonomy places the organism in Eukaryota, Viridiplantae, Streptophyta, Magnoliopsida, Brassicales, Brassicaceae. The transcript has a single exon.
GCGUCUUUGUAUCCCUUUGUUUAUUUAUUUUAAUUUGAUGAAUGGUUUUUCUAUCUAUCUCUUGGAUAUUAAGCUUGAACCACCAAAAUCAAAAGAACUCAAAGUUGAACAACCAAAUUUGUGACGUAUAUAAGAAGUCACUGAUUGUUUAAAGUCUUUGUAUAUCGCUUUAUUUUGUUUUCAGUUUGAUGAAUGACUUUUCUAUCUAUCUAUUGGAGAGAAAGCUGAGACGGUGUUUCUGAGCUUCAUCUACACAUGAAAAGUACAGGGUGGUAUCGUUUUCCAUCCCAAGUCUUCACCAGCACAACACUGG